This 69-nucleotide transfer RNA is filed under the name Podarcis lilfordi (Lilford's wall lizard). RNAcentral's name for it is "tRNA.Ala". It matches the Rfam family "tRNA". Rfam says of the family: Transfer RNA (tRNA) molecules are approximately 80 nucleotides in length. The record is from RNAcentral. Lineage: Eukaryota; Metazoa; Chordata; Lepidosauria; Squamata; Lacertidae.
GCUGUAGAUCAGUGGUAGAGCACCUACUUUGCAUGCAGAAGGUCCCAGGUUCAAUCCCUGGCAUCUCCA